GUGCUUGCUUCAGCAGCACAUAUACUAAAAUUUGAAUGAUACAGAGAAGAUUAGCAUGGCCCCUGCACAAGGAUGACAUUUUUUAAAAAUAAAAAAAAUUGAAAUAA
This 107-nucleotide small nuclear RNA is filed under the name Prolemur simus (greater bamboo lemur). The record is from RNAcentral. Lineage: Eukaryota; Metazoa; Chordata; Mammalia; Primates; Lemuridae.